Molecule: ribosomal RNA, 1359 nt
Filed under: uncultured bacterium
Lineage: Bacteria
Description: bacterial SSU rRNA
Rfam family: Bacterial small subunit ribosomal RNA
Source: RNAcentral
AUUGAACGCUGGCGGCAGGCUUAACACAUGCAAGUCGAGCGGGCGAGGUUGCUUCGGUAACUGAGCUAGCGGCGGACGGGUGAGUAAUGCUUAGGAAUCUGCCUAUUAGUGGGGGACAACAUUCCGAAAGGAAUGCUAAUACCGCAUACGCCCUACGGGGGAAAGCAGGGGAUCUUCGGACCUUGCGCUAAUAGAUGAGCCUAAGUCAGAUUAGCUAGUUGGUGGGGUAAAGGCCUACCAAGGCGACGAUCUGUAGCGGGUCUGAGAGGAUGAUCCGCCACACUGGGACUGAGACACGGCCCAGACUCCUACGGGAGGCAGCAGUGGGGAAUAUUGGACAAUGGGCGGAAGCCUGAUCCAGCCAUGCCGCGUGUGUGAAGAAGGCCUUUUGGUUGUAAAGCACUUUAAGCGAGGAGGAGGCUACUUGGAUUAAUACUCUAGGAUAGUGGACGUUACUCGCAGAAUAAGCACCGGCUAACUCUGUGCCAGCAGCCGCGGUAAUACAGAGGGUGCGAGCGUUAAUCGGAUUUACUGGGCGUAAAGCGUGCGUAGGUGGCUUCUUAAGUCGGAUGUGAAAUCCCUGAGCUUAACUUAGGAAUUGCAUUCGAUACUGGGAAGCUAGAGUAUGGGAGAGGAUGGUAGAAUUCCAGGUGUAGCGGUGAAAUGCGUAGAGAUCUGGAGGAAUACCGAUGGCGAAGGCAGCCAUCUGGCCUAAUACUGACGCUGAGGUACGAAAGCAUGGGGAGCAAACAGGAUUAGAUACCCUGGUAGUCCAUGCCGUAAACGAUGUCUACUAGCCGUUGGGGCCUUUGAGGCUUUAGUGGCGCAGCUAACGCGAUAAGUAGACCGCCUGGGGAGUACGGUCGCAAGACUAAAACUCAAAUGAAUUGACGGGGGCCCGCACAAGCGGUGGAGCAUGUGGUUUAAUUCGAUGCAACGCGAAGAACCUUACCUGGUCUUGACAUAGUAAGAACUUUCCAGAGAUGGAUUGGUGCCUUCGGGAACUUACAUACAGGUGCUGCAUGGCCGUCGUCAGCUCGUGUCGUGAGAUGUUGGGUUAAGUCCCGCAACGAGCGCAACCCUUUUCCUUAUUUGCCAGCGGGUUAAGCCGGGAACUUUAAGGAUACUGCCAGUGACAAACUGGAGGAAGGCGGGGACGACGUCAAGUCAUCAUGGCCCUUACGACCAGGGCUACACACGUGCUACAAUGGUCGGUACAAAGGGUUGCUACCUAGCGAUAGGAUGCUAAUCUCAAAAAGCCGAUCGUAGUCCGGAUUGGAGUCUGCAACUCGACUCCAUGAAGUCGGAAUCGCUAGUAAUCGCGGAUCAGAAUGCCGCGGUGAAUACGUUCCCGGGCCU